CAAAGGCGAGGCGAGAAUCGGGAGACACUGAGCUUAACUCAGCCUCCUGUCCCCCUCCUCCAAAUCCUGAGCCUGUACCUUUUUCUUCAGCUGCCGCUGUGCUUGUCGGAUCUUCCUCUUGGCGAGCUUCUCGUCCUCGACGGAGGUGUCAACGAUUGCUCUUUUCUUGAUCUGAGAGGCGGCCUGAGCCAUGGUGCCGGGACGGAGCGGAGCGGUAUCCUUACAGAGCAGGAGCACGAGGAGGUCCUUUAGACGCGUGGAAACUGCUCCUCAGGCUGGUUUAAGAUCCUAACAGGUUCCACUACAGCAUGAAACUAGGUCGAAUAACGGUGAAGAAGCACGAGGAGGAAGAGUUUGGAGGACAACAAAACACAGUCUGAAAAGUGUUGGAAAAUCAUUUACAAUUUUUUGGAGAACCCUGGGCCUCUGGAGAACCCUGUGCCUUUGGAGAACCUGGGCCUCUGCCAAGGACAGUAAUGAAAAGAGGGAUGAAAGGACUGAUGCAGAGAUGGAGAAGAAAUUCUGUCUUACCCUUUUUCGUCUCAAUCAUGUGGCUAACCCUAACCCUAAACCAUGCCAGACAAAGGUAUUUGUUGUGGAUGAUUUAGAUGCAGGUGUACAUUUAGAUGUUGAAUGUCUUGUCCAAGACACAGUCUGAUGUCAUAAUCUAAAUAGCUCUGUGUGUAUUUUUGGUAGAGACCUCCUGUUUGAUAUAAUCAUGUAUUGAAAUGCAUAGAUUAUUGGGAAUGCGAUGUUUGAUCAGAGUUAGAGUACCCAGAAAAUACAUUCUUUCUCCAAUCUGACACUAACAAAACUUUCUCUACUGUCACUUGCAAAACUGUAACACUAACUAACAAAACCUUUGGUCAGUAACAUGAAAUAAUGAAAUACAAAAUCCUUAACUUACAUGCCUCCAACCUGUAACACAAUGGACAUUCCUACGACCUGACAACAGAUUUUCCUCCAAUACUCCCAUCACUCUUGGUCAACUCAGACAGAGCAGGACUUCAUCACAGCAUGGUAAUAAUAUCCAGCAGGGAGUUUGUUAACCAAGGCUUCCUGCCCACAUUGACAGCCUCCAGAACCUGCCUGUGCUCUAGCAGUGUCAGAGCUGCACCACCACAGCUACAAAUGAGCAGGUCCAAAUGAGAAGAAACUGAGAAUAGCAACUCUCUCAGGUGCUUCACAGAGAGCAGUAACUCGGGAUCAGCUGAUCGAUUGACUGACAAAAGCAUUUACUCUGUUUCUGUAUCACUGAUGCUGAUGAAUAGUGAACAGCCACUGGUUCUCUUCCAGCUUCUAAUAUCCUCUGACACCCGGUUGACAGUAUCUUACCUUUUCUAUCUGUCUUAACAAACUUAAACAGGCUCUAACGUUUCCAGCCUGUAACAGCAUCUAACAGCCCCUUGCAACCUUACAGCCCAUAACAGCAUACUCUACUAAAUUGCAAAAUGAAAUUGAUGCCAUUACUGAUAUAUAACCUGCCGACCUUCUGAUAGUUUAAAAUAAAUUGUCCAAGGCAUUUUUAUGUCUGUUUUUGAUUAUCUACCCUUAACCCUUUAGAUGCUGGCUUUCACUGUGCCCACCGAUUCAAAACUGGAGACAGUUUAAAGACUCACCAUUGCAUUUUGUAUCUAAAGUUGGGAUCUUUGUUUGAUGUCUGUUGUGCCUCUUCUU
This is a long non-coding RNA of Esox lucius (northern pike), 1677 nucleotides long. RefSeq lists it as uncharacterized. The transcript has 3 exons. Lineage: Eukaryota; Metazoa; Chordata; Actinopteri; Esociformes; Esocidae. The record is from RefSeq and is a predicted model, not a curated record.